This 534-nucleotide ribosomal RNA is filed under the name uncultured bacterium. Its description in RNAcentral is "bacterial LSU rRNA". It matches the Rfam family "Bacterial large subunit ribosomal RNA", at positions 1763 to 2305 of the family's 2925-position model. The record is from RNAcentral.
GGAGCUCGAAAGGGUUGCAGUGAAAAGGUGGCUGCGACUGUUUAUUAAAAACACAGCACUCUGCAAACACGAAAGUGGACGUAUAGGGUGUGACGCCUGCCCGGUGCUGGAAGAUUAAAUGAUGGGGUGCAAGCUCUUGACUGAAGUCCCAGUAAACGGCGGCCGUAACUAUAACGGUCCUAAGGUAGCGAAAUUCCUUGUCGGGUAAGUUCCGACCCGCACGAAUGGCGUAACGAUGGCCACACUGUCUCCUCCUGAGACUCAGCGAAGUUGAAAAUGUUUGUGAAGAUGCAAUCUCCCCGCUGCUAGACGGAAAGACCCCGUGAACCUUUACUGUAGCUUUGCAUUGGACUUUGAACAGACUUGUGUAGGAUAGGUGGGAGGCUUUGAAGUGGGAACGCCAGUUCUCAUGGAGCCGUCCUUGAAAUACCACCCUGGUGUGUUUGAGGUUCUAACCUGGGUCCGUCAUCCGGAUCGGGGACCGUGCAUGGUAGGCAGUUUGACUGGGCGGUCUCCUCCCAAAGUGUAACGGAG